This 253-nucleotide ribosomal RNA is filed under the name uncultured bacterium. RNAcentral describes it as "partial 16S ribosomal RNA". It matches the Rfam family "Bacterial small subunit ribosomal RNA", at positions 524 to 776 of the family's 1533-position model. The record is from RNAcentral.
UACGUAGGUGGCAAGCGUUGUCCGGAUUUAUUGGGCGUAAAGAGCGUGUAGGCGGCCAUGUAGGUCCGUUGUGAAAACUCGAGGCUCAACCUCGAGACGCCGAUGGAAACCAUGUGGCUAGAGUCCGGAAGAGGAGAGUGGAAUUCCUGGUGUAGCGGUGAAAUGCGCAGAUAUCAGGAAGAACACCCGUGGCUAAGGCGGCUCUCUAGUACGGUACUGACGCUGAGACGCGAAAGCGUGGGGAGCGAACAGG